This is a long non-coding RNA of Brassica napus (rape), 1491 nucleotides long. RefSeq lists it as uncharacterized. The record is from RefSeq and is a predicted model, not a curated record. The transcript has 4 exons. NCBI's taxonomy places the organism in Eukaryota, Viridiplantae, Streptophyta, Magnoliopsida, Brassicales, Brassicaceae.
GGGUUACCUUUCCAGAAACAAACUGUGCAGAGAUGAAUCCAAGCCACACCUCUUGCCUCUGUCGUUUCGCUUCACCUCCCACAAAGUUUUUUCUGCAAAACAGUUUUUAUAGCAAUCAAUCAUCAUUCCCCACUGCUUUUGCUUCAUUGCUUUUUACUUCGUUUUCAUCGUCGCUCAUGCUGAUAUGUGGAGCCGUUCUAUGAGGCUUCACCGAGAAUCCAACUCUCGAUUCUUAAUUAGAAAACCCUAAAUCGUUUUAAGUUAGCUCCGAGGAUGGUAAAUCAACAGUUCCAUUUAUUUGAGCUCAAGGCUGGUCGCUCAUGCCAAUAUAUGGAGCCGUUCUGCAGGCAGAGUGUUGUCAGGAGGCUUUUCCGGUUCUGGAAAACUCGAAAUGUGAAGAAAGGUGGGGAGUUGAUGGGCUUCAUCUGGUACUGCUAGAAAGGAAGGUAACGAAUCUUGGUCUUCAUUUCGCUUUAAUAACAGGUACUCAUUCCGAAAUAAGGUGAUUACGUGCUCUGUGGAAUGGUUCGCAGUCCACCUUGAUUCAUCUCUGAAUCAGUGUACAUCGGCUCAAUACUUUUAGAAACAUUUUGAAGCAAUGCAGACUGUAUGAUCUAAGUGGGUUUGAUGUAACGAAGACCAACCAAAGCUUCCGCCUUUCAGACUCCCAUGUAUCAAUUCGUUUUACAGAGCAGACACAAUUUCAUGAGUUGCCUGAGAACAGGGGCUUGAUCCCGAUGGAACUCUUCAGGUUCGGGGAUUUACGAUCAUUUUGGCUACACAAACACUGACUUGCCAGAUAUUGUUGGUGACGUGUUUUGGAAGUAAACGUUUGUCUUAGUAUUUUUGUCAAUCGUGCUAUGCAACUCCUUGAUAAAUUGGUUAUCCACGGCGUGGAACCACGGGUUAUUGCAGCUACCAAUAUCAAUCCAAAAUUGGCUGGAGGACGUCCUUUCCUAAAUCCAGCCUCAGUAACCCUUUUCUAAUUUGCCGGUGAGUGUGAGGCCAUCACAAGUUGCAUCUAGGGGUAAACCUUUGUAAGGAAACCCAUCCUGCUUAUUAACUUCCUCUGUCACACUGCUGUUGCUGUCAAUACCACUUGGAAUCACAGUAGAAGUGCAGGUUGAAGACCUCCAAUGAGAAAGGGGUAAAGAUAAUGGUCCGUGUCCGGCUGUAAGAGAUGACGUUCCUUUCGAGGAGUCCCAUGUUGAAGAUUGUGGACCUCUACAAAGAAGCCACGUAAUAGUUGAACUCCAGAAGAUCGAAGUGAAAGUUGGAGUCUGGUUUCACAACUGCUUCUUUUAUCUUUAAUUCCCAGCGUUUAAUAAGUUGUCAUUGAACUAUAUUGCAAUGUUUUCUGUUCUUUUGUUUUCUUUUUAAAUCAGCCUUACUAAUUUCUCAACUACAAUGCAGUAUUUUAAACCCCUAUUGAAUUGUUAUAAUGUUAUGAAUAUUAGUGCCAAUCAUUUCAUAUAAUGUUUCAAUUAAGCA